Molecule: unclassified non-coding RNA, 329 nt
Filed under: soil metagenome
Description: partial contains 5.8S ribosomal RNA, internal transcribed spacer 2, and large subunit ribosomal RNA
Rfam family: 5.8S ribosomal RNA (bases 1-120)
Source: RNAcentral
GAUGAAGAACGCAGCGAAAUGCGAUAAGUAAUGUGAAUUGCAGAAUUCAGUGAAUCAUCGAAUCUUUGAACGCACAUUGCGCCCUCUGGUAUUCCGGGGGGCAUGCCUGUUCGAGCGUCAUUAUAACCACUCAAGCUCUCGCUUGGUAUUGGGGUUCGCGGUUCCGCGGCCCCUAAAAUCAGUGGCGGUGCCUGUCGGCUCUACGCGUAGUAAUACUCCUCGCGAUUGAGUCCGGUAGGUCUACUUGCCAGCAACCCCCGAUUUUUACAGGUUGACCUCGGAUCAGGUAGGGAUACCCGCUGAACUUAAGCAUAUCAAUAAGCGGAGGA